CUUGCACUCGGACAUUGGCCCCAUAAAUAUGCAGCCAGAAGGGACGUUCAGAUUUCUGAGCACAUAUAGUUACCAGCCAAUAACCUAUAGUUCCAAAUUUUUCCCCGAAAAGGACAAUAAAAGUAAGGUAAUUAUGAUGAACCUCUGGUGGCCACAGUACUUAUUAUCACUGUACACUGCAAUAACUAAAGGAUUUUGGUAAUUGGUAUAGACCAAAUAACAAGUUAGGCAUAAUUUGUAUUAGUACUAAUGCCAUUUCCAAUUUGUUGUUUAAUUCAAAUGGGCAAAAAGAAAGUCCUGUUCUGAAGAUGCCUGCCAAUAAUCAUGUUAACUGCUUGUAUUGCCACGGCUUGCUGCAUGCUUCGACCUUAAAAAUUAAGGAAAAUAUCUUCAUACUCCUUAUUUUCAAGUUUCAUAUGUCAAUAGACCUAAGAUCUUGUAGCAUAGAAAUCUUAGCCCUUUCUAAGCCCUUCAAGCUGCAUUGCGUUAAUCUUGUAAAGUACUCUCUCCUAAAAGAAUUGGAUUGUAGACCAGGUAAUGCACUAAAAUGAAUGGAAGCAAACUAAAGUAUAAGAAAAGGGAGUGUAUGGUAUGGGACCAUUUACCUUUGUUACAAGAAGGUCACAGCUACCCCUAGAUAUCAAAUGUUGUCAAAUUGGACAACUUCGGAUAUGUGACAAAGUUCGAGAAUUUUUUUCGAAUUGAGCCUAAUCAAUGACUCAUUGACAGUUAUUAUGACCUCCUUAUGCUAAAAGCAAAUGUUCAUUUUGCAUACAUUAGCUCUUCCCUCCUCUAGAUAACCAAUAGGACACUUCCAACUCCAGACAGGCAAGUAGUGUUACUAUUCUCAGGGUUUAGGCAUCUAGGAUUGGCACUUAUGGCACAAGGACCAAUAUUCUAAACUCCGCAGGAUUAAAUCCAAGCUUUUACAAAACAGUUUUAGAUUUAGCUGCUUAGAUUAGAUGUUAGCGCCAAGGACCACCAUGCUACUGCUUGGAGUUUGAAAUUUGAAUUGAUGAAAACCCAAAGUGGUUUGGGCACCUUUGGGGAAUCUCAAAUCCCAUUGAUAAGCUACCCCCUUACUAAGAGGGUACCGAUUCAUAUCGAAUAGACAAAAGUUCAAAGCAACAGAUCAUCUACUACUAGUUCUGAAUAUUGAAGACAGUUCAAUCCUGAAAGGCUUAUCUGAUGCAUCUUCAAAAGGAUAACUAUUCUUUUAAUUCCAAAGCAUGAGUCACAAGCCCAAGGUUGAGGAAAAGAACUCCAAACCAUUAACUACAAAGAAGAGAUUUACAUGUUACCAAGAAUGGUUGCCACUAGACAGAAGCCCAAAGACCCAGACUCGUAGAAAAAUGCUCAUCUCUAUGCAUUUUCAUUAAAAGAAGUCACAUAUUCAUUUAAAAAAGAAUAUGAAGGGAGCAUGAAUCCAAAACAGCUUAUUGUGAAAAUUACCAGCAAGAAUAAAUUAGUUGUUAUCAUCAAAGAAACCUUUGUCCUCAAAUUUUACGAAGCUCCACCCGAUGCCUGUGAAUCUUUCAAGAGUUUCUCAAGCAAAAGGAGGUUUGCAUAUGAACCUUUGAAGGGAAAUUCAAAAUUGCUGAACUUGGAGCCAAUUGAUCGCUCCUGUGUACAAACCCAAUAGUUUAUCACAUACUUGCUCGUUGCAGGCUCCUCAAUCAGUUUUAGGCAGCUACUGCUUAGUUGAAGGUCUAGAUGAGGCAACUAGUCUAUGCCAGGGAAAAAAAGCUGGAGUCGCUUGCACCAACUGAAGGGUCCUAAGAACUCUUCCUGCCAUAUCACAGGGGAAAACCAAUAGAAGGUAUAAAUAGUUAGAAUCAGUGUUUCAAAAAAUGGAUUAGUGGGGCGGAUCCCCUACCAACUGAUCCCAAUCCAGAUCAACCGAAUCAACAAUUAGGAUUGUCUAGAUUAGCGAUUAGGAAAAAUACAUAAUAAAAAAUAAAUAAUAAAAUAUAUACGAUAUAUUUGUCAAAAUAUUGUCAUAAGUGCUUCAACACAACAUGUUGGCUAGACUUUGUGCCUUUGAAGCGCAAGGUCAGGGCAUGAAUCCCCCACUAUUUUGUUUCUCGUCUAACUUUCGAAAAAAGCUCCUAAAAAAUAGAGCUAUUUAAAAUUCUUUAAAAGGAGAAUUGGAUAUAACAACUAAUAUACUAAAACCAUAGUUACCGGAAGUGCCCCGUUUAAGUAAGAGCCAAGAAGAUUUUAGAAAAAUUCAACAUUUUCGUGUAGAGGAUGUGAAACGGGUCCCAAC
Molecule: long non-coding RNA, 2269 nt
Filed under: Amborella trichopoda
Lineage: Eukaryota; Viridiplantae; Streptophyta; Magnoliopsida; Amborellales; Amborellaceae
Description: long non-coding RNA (ATRI_LNC000409)
Source: RNAcentral